GAAAAUGUUGCAAUUGCUGAAACCAUGUUCAGUAUUAAAGGCACUGGAAGAGGGAGCUUCAUUGCUGGCUGAAGUGUACACAACCAAAGGAUUAAGCGCCUAUGGCGAGAUGUCUGGACCUGUGUCACUCAUCUGUACUAUGAAGUUCUUUACAGUCUAGAAGAAGAUGGCCUGUUGGAUUUGACAGAUGCUAUCCAUCUGUUUUGUGCCCAUUAUGUGUUCCUUCCGCAUCUGGUAGAGGCCCUUCACACCUUCACAGAAGGCUGGGACAACCAUCCCUUACAAUCUGAAGGUGGACUCACCCCUAACCAACUCUGGGUUAUGGGUCACAUGCAGAACCCUUGUGACCCAGAUGAAGAUUUGCAGAACAUGGAGCUGUUUGGAACUGACUGGGAGAUGUUUGAAGCUGUGCCUGAAGAACCUUAUGGAGUUGAAGUCCCAGAAAUUGAGUACCCACUGACUCCAGCUAUUAUGGAAACUGUACAGUCCAUGAUCAAUCCCUCUGCAUCGUCAGAAUCAUUUGGCAGGGACAUUUAUAUAUCAAUGGUUCAGUGCAUUGAAAGUCUAUGUGUGACACAAAGAAACGUCUAAGAUAUAAUCAGUCCUUGCAAAAGAUUUAAUGGAAUGAAGUUGAACAUUUGCAAGCAGACUGCCAGUUACAAAAGGCUUGCUGUGACAUUAGUUCAUUUUAACAUGGGAGUAACAGUGAGGUAAAAAACUAACUCAUCAUUCAUUUUGGUUUUGAAGUGAACCAUCACUAACAGCAAAACAAUGGUUUUGUAACAAUGAAUAACAAAGUUAUUCACAGAAACAAUAAGUUGUCAAAUAAAAAUGCCAAUAA
Sander lucioperca (pikeperch) is the source of this 841-nucleotide long non-coding RNA. RefSeq lists it as uncharacterized. Lineage: Eukaryota; Metazoa; Chordata; Actinopteri; Perciformes; Percidae. The record is from RefSeq and is a predicted model, not a curated record. The transcript is spliced from 3 exons.